This 420-nucleotide ribosomal RNA is filed under the name Bacillus cereus. RNAcentral describes it as "bacterial SSU rRNA". It matches the Rfam family "Bacterial small subunit ribosomal RNA", at positions 151 to 556 of the family's 1533-position model. The record is from RNAcentral. Lineage: Bacteria; Bacillati; Bacillota; Bacilli; Caryophanales; Bacillaceae.
GGGAAACCGGGGCUAAUACCGGAUAACAUUUUGAACCGCAUGGUUCGAAAUUGAAAGGCGGCUUCGGCUGUCACUUAUGGAUGGACCCGCGUCGCAUUAGCUAGUUGGUGAGGUAACGGCUCACCAAGGCAACGAUGCGUAGCCGACCUGAGAGGGUGAUCGGCCACACUGGGACUGAGACACGGCCCAGACUCCUACGGGAGGCAGCAGUAGGGAAUCUUCCGCAAUGGACGAAAGUCUGACGGAGCAACGCCGCGUGAGUGAUGAAGGCUUUCGGAUCGUAAAACUCUGUUGUUAGGGAAGAACAAGUGCUAGUUGAAUAAGCUGGCACCUUGACGGUACCUAACCAGAAAGCCACGGCUAACUACGUGCCAGCAGCCGCGGUAAUACGUAGGUGGCAAGCGUUAUCCGGAAUUAUUG